GUUUGUUGAAAUUCCAAUGAGAAAAAAUAGGUUUUUGUGACAUUUAUAACUUCACAUAAAUCUUUUGUUUCAAUCAGGUUGUAGCGGCAUUUGGGAAUGGCGAACAACUAGUAUGAGUACGUGUAAUGUUUUGAGGUGGAAGACGAAGUAAUGUACCCAAAUAUCAUUGUUGUUCAAAUUGAUGGCCGCGACUUUGGCAGUUUCUCGGAGAAGCAUGGAUUUGAGAAGCCGAAUGAUGACAAAGCCUUGAACUUGAUGAAUGCUUGUGCUAUUAAGGUAUUAGAGAACUUCUCUGAUGUUAUAUUUGCGUAUGGAUUUACUGAUGAGUACAGUUUCGUUUUGAAGAAGGAAAUCACAUUUUACCAGAGGCGAGCAAGGUUUGUAACCUAUUUCAUAUCUCAAGAAUUUGAUAUCAGUGUUUAUCAAUAAUUAUUUUUGGCUCUUCGGACGAGUAAUUUGAAUGAUGCACUUUGUCUUGUUAGUAUUCAUAUAUCGCUGGUAUGAUACAAAAUUAUUGUUCUUGCAUUGACUCUUGUUUGAGUAGCGAUAAAACAAUACUUGUUUACUUUUCUUGUCUUAUGCUUCUUGAACACUCUUUGAACGAUUGCAUGAUAACUUUGUACGUGAUUCAACUAGAAUCAUCUUUUCUGUUAACUACAAUAUACAAAUCUCUUCCUCAGCUGUUGGUUUGCUAGAUCAUGUCCCAUUUGUCUUUGAUUUUAGAUCAUCUAAGCAAUUUUUUUUGGAUUCCUGACACCAACAAUCUGUCAUUAUUUUAAACUUGACUGUUACAUUGUCCUAGUGCUGAUUGCUGAGGAACUGUAUAUUAUAUAACCAGUCUCUAACAGUGAAGCUAAUUCAAUUAUGCUCAGGGAUGCUGCUGCCUCUUGGAUAGUUUAUCAACUUUUUAUCUCUUUCUUAACCGCCCAUGUCUAUACCAGUUUGAACUGUCCUUCAAUUACCCUUCUUUAGCAUGUUUUUGUUAAAGUGGGUUAGAGUGCAAGUGUGCAACAUUGAUCGGGGAAUGGAUUGAUGGUUUGCUUAUAUGGACUUUGGCAAUCCUCCCCUCAUGAGCUAGCUUUUGGGGUUGAGUUAGAACCAAGGUCCAUUACUUUAUCAUGGUGUCAUAGUUAGGUCUAACCCAUUCAUUGUUUCGAUGUUGGACCCCCCUCUUAUAUUGUCCACUCUCCGAUGUCCAGUCCUUGACGUGCGGGGGUGUUGAGUCCCAUAUCGGUGGGCAUUAAGGAAUUUGGUCUCCUAAUAUGAUCUUGAUCAAUCCUUCCCUUAUGAGCUAGCUUUGGGGGUUGACCUAGGUUAUAUAUUUCUUGUUUUUUGUUAAUCAUUUUUGAGAUUUUGUUAAUGAGAAGGAAAAUCAGCUCCAAAUCGCUAUAGCCUAUAGGCCCUUGUGGUAGCUGGCUUGAGGAAAUGCAUAGUAAGCAGUAUUAGGGAAAUAUAGAGAUUGAUCACAAACUUUUCUUAAGAAGGCACCAGGACAACCUUAAGGCGUGGUCAGCUUGGCUGUCCACACAUUUGUCUUCUCACUAAGAUGACCACCAUAUAUAUGUUUUCGUUUUCAAGAUACUUAUGUGGAGUUGAGUAAAAUGGAUUAUAAGAUACAAAAUAUCCCACUUGAAUUAGUCAAGAAGACAAAGAAAAGAGAGAUGUAAAAUAAUCCUAGUUUCUUCAUUUGAGACGAAGUUGCUCAGAAAUUUCAACGUGCAGCAAAAUCCUAUCCAUUAUUGUGUAUUUCUUCUCAUCCACAUAUGUAACCAAAUGGAAAUAGUUCUUUUCUCAAAAAGAGGUAAGUGUGCCUCCAUCAUUCCAUUCACGAGUUAUCUACAUCAAUGGAGGUUCUUCAGGCAUAUCUUCUAUGGAGACAAACAGAAUGUCAUAUAAGCAAUCAAUACAAUACUUGUUUGUGGAAGCUGGUGUUUUCUGGAAAGUUAGAAAAGGAGGCGAAAGAGAUUCUUAAGGGGACACAAAAGCAGGAGCAAACUGAAUUACUCUUUCAGCAGUUUGGUAUCAACUACAAGGACCUUCCACAGAUUUUUCGUCAAGGGUCUUGUGCCAUCAAGAUAAAGGUAGUUACUUUCAUCCCCCUUCUCCUAGAAGAGUAUAUAUUGGUAUAUGCAUGUGAUGCAUGUGCCACUAUCCUUUUUUUUGUUUUUUAGAUUUGAAAGAUAGAUAAAUAUGGCAUUUGGAUAUGAAAAACACUGUUUUGAAAACAAUUGAUGUGUGUGCUUUUCUGUUUUGGAAGAUUUGUUUUAGGAACUUUUUUGAAGAAUGGUUUAGUAUUAAAAAAAUUGAGGCUGAAGGAAUGGUUUUGAUGGCUUUUUGAACGAGAGAGAGAAAGAGAGAAGACACUUCUGUGUAUUUGUCCGUCUUUGUUAACAAACUUACCCUAAGGACCGCACACACUCUCUCUUUUUGUUCUAAAUUCUUCUCUUUCCUUCUUGCAAAAAGUAAACCUAGCCCUAUAAUCUUAGAGAAAUGUUUUUUUUUUGGGUAGAAUUUAGCAGGUUCUUUGACUUGAAAUUAAAAUGUUAGUGUAUUCAUACGUACGCCUAAAAAUGGGUAAGAGUAGUAGUAAUUGAACUCCACAGUCUGAGCCUUGUUAAGGUCAUCCUAUUGUUGUGCUUUUUCAUGGAGCAGUUAUGUGUAACUCUUAUAUUUUUUAUAUAAAAAUGGCAUGUGCAUUAAAGGACUCUUUUGCGGCAAGUAGACAUAUUCUUUUCUCUAUGCUUAAACCAUGAACUCUCACCCCCACCUAUAGGGGUAGGAAGGGAAGAGAAGGAGGUAUACAAUGCAGUUUACUCAUCACUAUACGUGGGUACUUCAUAUCAUGCAUCUUCAUGUCCAGGGGCAGAGCCACCUUAUAAAUAGAAGAAAAGGAAUAAUUUGC
Long non-coding RNA from Solanum tuberosum (potato), 2902 nucleotides. RefSeq lists it as uncharacterized. The record is from RefSeq and is a predicted model, not a curated record. The transcript has 5 exons. Lineage: Eukaryota; Viridiplantae; Streptophyta; Magnoliopsida; Solanales; Solanaceae.